GGGCUUGAAGGUAGUGCACGACGGCUUGGUGAUCGUGGUACAUGAAAUACCACUUACUUGCUUGGUGAGUAUACCACUCACUAAAUUGUUACUAUGUGGCUUUGUUAAAUGUUAUGUGAUGCCUUGAUGGCUUACUUGCAUAUUGGAAUUGAUUAAGGUGAGGGUGUACUUGACCGCCCUCACCUCUUUUGGAUAUUGUCAUUGAUUGGCUACCGUUUUAUUGCAUUACUGAACUUGAUAUAUUGGUUGGUGAAUUCCAUUUCAUGGAAACUGAAUUGAUGUCGUUUGGACGAUGUCCAACGGCCUUACUGCAUUACUGAGCUCAACCCCGUUUGGUAGUCAAUUGGAUCGAGCCGGCGAGGGUUUGGUCGUGAAGAUUGAAUUGCCACGGGGACUGUACUGGGGAACCUUGUGGUAAUGAGACCCUUGGUUCCGGUAAACUCGAGUAUUACCAAAAACUACUGAAAUGAAGUGCGGGCCCGGUUGGGGUAUGUUAGGUGGAAGGAUUGGAAGUAAAGGGUGGUCUACGGUUUGGUACUUUUAACAUUGACGGAGAGUCAAUGAGGUUGGAUCAAGAUUGCAAGCGUGGAAUUGGGCUCUUGAGAGCCGACCGUAUCCUUUUACCGUUUUGCUUCAUUGCUUAUUUGUGCACUUUAAAUGAAAGUUCAUUCUUAUAUGACUUUGAUUGCUUAUUGGGUGGUAUACCACUGGGCUUUAGCUCAUUCCGUGUUAUUUGUUUUCCUUACAGGGUGAUAAUUACUUUUGAGAACGGAUUGGAUAGUCAAUUUCCGAAUUGAGCAUGUAAAUGUCUUUUGUAUUGCUCUUGAAGUGAAACCCUAAUGUAUAACGGGUUCAUUUCCUUUUGAUAGGCAAAUCGAAUGUGUACUUCCUUAAUGAAUGGUUUUGGCUUGCCGUUGUGGCUUGUAAAUGGCUAAUGUUAUGUUGCAUAUGUAUUUCGAUGCUUGGUUGGGUUUCGGACGGGUCGGUUACUAUUCAUAGCCGACUCUGGAGUUCGUUUCUUUUAUUUUGGGAUAUUUUGCCCUUUUGCCUUGUUGCGCGCGUUAUAAGUUUCAAACGUGAUAGAUCGCUUUAUACUGCACCGUUAGUCCUGGCGAGAGCUGGGCAGGCAGUCCGCUAACCUCUUUGGUUCGCCUUAGGGGAAGGUGGGG
RNAcentral lists this long non-coding RNA (1169 nucleotides) under Coffea arabica (coffee). RNAcentral describes it as "long non-coding RNA (CARA_LNC005668)". Lineage: Eukaryota; Viridiplantae; Streptophyta; Magnoliopsida; Gentianales; Rubiaceae. The record is from RNAcentral.